AUGGACAAACAGUACUCCAAGAUCUAUAAGCAAGCACAGAAGAUGGACAAACAGAAGAUGGGUGUCACUUUGGCAAGUUUCGAAAGGCUGAUGGGUUCAUUAGUAAGCAAGCACAGAGACACAACGAGACAUGCACAAAUAUUCAGAGGCGUCAAUGAAAGGCAAAGCAUUACAGAAGAUGGACAAACCGUACUCCAAGAUCUGAAAAAUAGGAAUUUUUCACCAUCUAGCGCUUGCAAUCAAAAUCAUCUGAAUGGGAGAUAUGAGAACGAUCCAUCAUAUCUCGACACAUUCUUGCUGACAGUGCAAGUUUCAAAGGGCUGUGGAUGUGAGAGACUGACCAGAAUUGCUGCCAGUGGGAGGUGUAUGGAGAUGGAACAUAUAGCUUUCAUCCAAAAAAAAGGCUUCCUACAACACACAAAUCAAGGUUUCCAACAAAAAUUAACUCAAAAAAUCGCUCACAUCUAA
This 468-nucleotide ribosomal RNA is filed under the name Triticum aestivum (bread wheat). RNAcentral's name for it is "partial small subunit ribosomal RNA". The record is from RNAcentral. Lineage: Eukaryota; Viridiplantae; Streptophyta; Magnoliopsida; Poales; Poaceae.